This is an RNA transcript of Diospyros lotus (date-plum), 1243 nucleotides long. RefSeq lists it as uncharacterized. The record is from RefSeq and is a predicted model, not a curated record. NCBI's taxonomy places the organism in Eukaryota, Viridiplantae, Streptophyta, Magnoliopsida, Ericales, Ebenaceae. The transcript has 7 exons.
UAUCUUUUUCUGUCGCUCACCGACCGAACCCGAACCCUAAUCAGUUGCCUAAACCCUCUUUCUUCUCCGAGGUAACCCCUAGCCAAAAUCAAUUUUGACCCGCCGCAACAACGAAAAACUCUUCGUCAUCGCAGCGCGAAACCUAUUCAAAACCCUAGAUUCCCGAGGGAGAAGGCGCUAUAUACGAUAAUUAACACAUAGCUGUGCGUAUAGAGAGGGCGAUAGAACAAUGGACGGAGGAGGGGAGGAGAGUGGAGCAGUGCCGGAGUCGGUAAUGGAAGCGGUGAAGAGAACAUCUCGCAACAUUAAAGAAUUCAGAACUCAUUUUCUAGAGUUUUUAUCUCUCUGCGACACUGAAGUUCUCGGCGAAUUGCAACCUCUGCAACGGGCUCAGUCUCUCCUGUUGCUAGCCAAGGCCACCACGACUCUGUUCACCUUGAGGUUGAGGUGUAAUGGUGUUCACCCGGAUGAUCACCCCGUGAAAUCAGAGCUUGAGAGAUUAAGCUUGUACCAAGACAAACUGCAGCGAUUCAUUGACCUGAGUAAAGCACCACUUCGACCAUCAACUACCUUGAAUUACCAGGCAGCAACGCGUUUUAUUGAGCACUCAUUGCCUGAUCUAACCCAAGAACAGAGGCAGAGUUUGAGGGAUAUCAGGAGAGGAGAAGGACCGAAAAUUAAGUACGUGGACAGAAGUGCCCAUAAAAAACGGAAACACCGGUCAUCUGAGAAGCAAUCUAUUUCUACUGCAGCCCAGGAAUUUCUUGAAAAAGCAGCCCGUGAGCUUCUUGGUGAUAAUAAAAGUGGUUUUAAAGGUCCUUUACAGCCGGAGGCUUUCAAUGAAGAUGACCAACCCAUGGAUUGAUGGAUCCAGUUGCGAGAGGAACGCAUCUGCCAGAAUGAUAUACACAGUUGACGGUUUUCAUGAUUUCGACAUGCAUUUAUAUAAUUAAAGCGACAGAUUACUUGCGGGGAUGGGUGUCCUCCGGCCCGGCGACGCCGGUGGCCACCUUGGCGACGUCGCCGGCCGAGGCCUCGGGCUUUUUCUUGGAGUACAGUAUAAAGUAGCCGAUGGUGGCGGCGAUGAGGAAGCCGCCGAGGGCCAUGGUGGUGGGGCUGCGGGGAAGCUUCCGGCGCUGGUGGAGCACCUCCCCUGGAUGGUGGCCUGGAGGCCGCUUGGAGGCCUCCACUCCGGCCCUCUUCACCUCCUCAGGGCUCAUCUUGUGCGUGUCUGCAUUCUUCC